RNAcentral lists this long non-coding RNA (1294 nucleotides) under Capsella grandiflora. RNAcentral's name for it is "long non-coding RNA (CGRA_LNC000715)". Lineage: Eukaryota; Viridiplantae; Streptophyta; Magnoliopsida; Brassicales; Brassicaceae. The record is from RNAcentral.
UCUCAAGAGUAUAAUAUUAUAAGCCAAAAGUUGCUUACAAGGUCUUAAAGCCCACCAUAGUUUUGCAGAAACAAAGGGUGAACCCCAACGCGAGGUCACCAACGUUACAUCGAAAAUCAAAGGAGUUUUUAAAGUUUGGACUCUAUCUUAUACACGUGUUAACUUGAGAAUACAACUGUAACACGAGUUGAUUAGUCAUCGGAAGAGAAACCGACAUCAGCUUUCGUCGCCGGCGAACACCAAAUCCAGUGAAGAAACCGUCGUCAAAACAACUUACGAAGAUUCUUUGUUUACCACCGGAACAGAUCUGAAUGGAGCUCUAUUAAAAAUGGCGACAUAAGGAUAUCAUAAUAAGCUUCGGAGAAUUCUUCAAACCUUUAACUGGAUACAUAAUUGCUUGAACCAUCUUCUGCAAAUCAAGGUUUCUAAAGACACAAGUUGGAGAAUCAUUUUAAGCCAACAACACCUAGAAACUAAUUACCAACUCAAAUCUAUAGAAUUUAUUGAAAAAACAAAGACUAAAAGCAAUCGGUUUAAAACCGAACAAAGAUAAGAACCGGCCAAACCUCUUAUGGAAACUAGAUUUACCGGACAAAAACUGGCUAUCUCCACUGUCGGAGCUAGAAGAUACCAGGUCUAAACCGACCAAAGCCGUUAACGGAAACUGGAUUUGUCGGACAGAAACCGGCUAUCCCCACUAGUAAAGCUGGAAGACACCGGGCAAAAGCCCAAAACACUUGGGACGGCGAAACAUCGGACUAACAUCCGAUCAGCAAAAUCAACAAAGAAUUCCUCUCUCUAAAGGAUAUAGAGAGAGAAGAGAGAGAAAUUCUUUUGCUUUAGCUUUUGUCUUGGUUACAUAGAACGAAGCUCACUUUCAUCUACUUUAGCAUUAGUAUUUCGAAUUAGUACCAAAUGUGUUGUGAAUAUACUAAAUUUGGAAGAAGAGUGACGAAACCCGGAUCUUGUUUCUGAAGCUUCAAAGCAAGACGAGUUAAGCACUUGAAAGCUUCUUGUUGAACAGCUGAGUAUCUCUGAUUCAUAGAAAAUUUUUUGGGUUACCCCUAGAGAUGAACCAUUCUUUUUCACCCCCUCUUAAUUAGCCAAUCAAAAUAUAAUAAUAUGACACGUCAUUUUUAUAAUUUAAUAAAGUAAAUCAAAUUUUUUUUUUAAAAGCAUACUAACUGUAUUUAAAAAAGUGAGUUGGGUGAGGAUAUCUUUUUGUGUGGUCUAUAACAAAAGGUACUGGUUUCAUCGCACAAACGGGAUGCAUACUCAGUUCGUAAGUAGAUGA